UACGGAGGGUGCGAGCGUUGUCCGGAAUCACUGGGCGUAAAGGGCGCGUAGGCGGUUCUUCAAGCGUGUGGUGAAAGUCCGGGGCUCAACCCCGGAUCGGCCGUGCGAACUGGGGGACUUGAGCACUGUAGAGGCAGGUGGAAUUCCGGGUGUAGCGGUGGAAUGCGUAGAGAUCCGGAAGAACACCAGGGGCGAAGGCGGCCUGCUGGGCAGUGGCUGACGCUGAGGCGCGACAGCGUGGGGAGCAAACAGGAUUAGAAACCCCCGUAGUCC
This 273-nucleotide ribosomal RNA is filed under the name uncultured bacterium. Its description in RNAcentral is "partial 16S ribosomal RNA". It matches the Rfam family "Bacterial small subunit ribosomal RNA", at positions 524 to 796 of the family's 1533-position model. The record is from RNAcentral.